Molecule: long non-coding RNA, 781 nt
Organism: Dreissena polymorpha
Lineage: Eukaryota; Metazoa; Mollusca; Bivalvia; Myida; Dreissenidae
Exons: 3
Source: RefSeq, a predicted model, not a curated record
CCGCCGCCACCAUGCGAUGAAAGCGGCAAAGAGUAUCAAUCUUCACACUUCCAAGGUCAAGCGGUAUAUCCUGGUGUUCAAUCGACGGGCUUAACGACUCAACCUGGUUUGCAUUAUGGCACACAAACUCCUCCUGGACUACAGCAAAGGGCGUCACCAUUUUAUUCACAUAGUCAGCCCCAGGAAGAACCCAAGGGGCAGCCUCAGUGCUACCCCCAAUAUCAGCCUGGAUAUCCACCGCCACAGCUCUGCCCAGGCGGACAUUACCCGCAGGGGUCAUAUAGCGUUCAGCAGCCUUAAGGACAUCCUAUCCCUGGACAACCGUGUAUUACUACACAAGUCGUCGUCACCCAGCCUGUUCAGCAGCCAUGGUAUGUGGUGCCCAUUUCUCGACCACCAGACUACCUGAUUCCCGCCAUCUUGGCAUGCUUUUGUUGCUUUUGUCCCACUGGGUUUGCCGCCAUCUGCUACGCCUAUCAGGCUAACAGGAUGGCGAUGUCAGGCAACAUGAACGGUGCAAACAGAUCGUCUAACGCCGCGAGACGCCUGGUUAUUGCAAGUGUCGAUGUUGGCGUCAUCAUUAUCGCAGUUACGACCGUGCUUAUCUAUAAAGAAAGGCGCCAUGGGCCCUAAGGCGCUCACCUGAGACCCAAGGAACUAAACAAUUCUGGGAAGGUGGAGUUCAAAAUAAUAACGUUCUUCUUGAAACAUAAAUAUUAUCAUAAGAUUCACAAGAAAAAAUUUGCUCGCCCCUGGAAACCAUGCACUUCAGAGCACCGGA